This 427-nucleotide ribosomal RNA is filed under the name uncultured bacterium. Its description in RNAcentral is "partial 16S ribosomal RNA". It matches the Rfam family "Bacterial small subunit ribosomal RNA", at positions 355 to 774 of the family's 1533-position model. The record is from RNAcentral.
UGGGGAAUAUUGGACAAUGGGCGAAAGCCUGAUCCAGCCAUGCCGCGUGUGUGAAGAAGGUCUUCGGAUUGUAAAGCACUUUAAGUUGGGAGGAAGGGCAUUAACCUAAUACGUUAGUGUUUUGACGUUACCGACAGAAUAAGCACCGGCUAACUCUGUGCCAGCAGCCGCGGUAAUACAGAGGGUGCAAGCGUUAAUCGGAAUUACUGGGCGUAAAGCGCGCGUAGGUGGUUUGUUAAGUUGGAUGUGAAAUCCCCGGGCGCAACCUGGGAACUGCAUUCAAAACUGACUGACUAGAGUAUGGUAGAGGGUGGUGGAAUUUCCUGUGUAGCGGUGAAAUGCGUAGAUAUAGGAAGGGACACCAGUGGCGAAGGCGACCACCUGGUCUAAUACUGACACUGAGGUGCGAAAGCGUGGGGAGCAAACA